UACGGGGGGAGCAAGCGUUGUUCGGAUUUACUGGGCGUAAAGGGCGCGUAGGCGGUCAGCACAAGUCAAUUGUGAAAUCUCCGAGCUUAACUCGGAAAGGUCAACUGAAACUGUGCGACUAGAGUGCGGAAGGGGCAACUGGAAUUCUUGGUGUAGCGGUGAAAUGCGUAGAUAUCAAGAGGAACACCUGCGGCGAAGGCGGGUUGCUGGGCCGGUACUGACGCUGAGACGCGAAAGCGUGGGGAGCGAACAGG
This 254-nucleotide ribosomal RNA is filed under the name uncultured bacterium. RNAcentral describes it as "partial 16S ribosomal RNA". It matches the Rfam family "Bacterial small subunit ribosomal RNA", at positions 524 to 776 of the family's 1533-position model. The record is from RNAcentral.